Long non-coding RNA from Dalotia coriaria, 522 nucleotides. RefSeq lists it as uncharacterized. NCBI's taxonomy places the organism in Eukaryota, Metazoa, Arthropoda, Insecta, Coleoptera, Staphylinidae. The transcript is spliced from 3 exons. The record is from RefSeq and is a predicted model, not a curated record.
UAGACUUUUUACCGGCCUGCUGACUGUCUUUUUCGAUAGUAACGCGUUCGCGAAAUGUGUGUGCCGAGUUUUAGUGAAUAUAAACUCUAAUUCCGACCGGAAAUCACCGUGAAAUCGCCUUAACACACUCAUCAACGAGUUUUGCAACACUCAGCGUCUCAGAAUCGCCUGAUGAUGAUGAUUCCUGAUGAGACGUGACAGACCACCCAGCGUGGAUACGCGCCGUUUUACACCUUUCCGGGGCAUUAUAAUGCGGCAGGUAAAUGUGGUGGCGUCAUAAAUUUCAAGUAACACCAGAUAUAAAGAAUAAAACGGUGACGAAGACACUUUGUGUCAAAAGAGGAGCAAAGAACAGGAAGAUGGACAAAAACGAUGGGAUAUCAGCACUAAAAGCGCGAAACCGCAAGCAUUUGCAAAAGUUUACUUCCUGUGGUGACAUGGAUGACAAUAAAAAUGUGUUACGGUGUUGUAAAUGUAAACGAUGACAAACAAACAAAUAAUAAAAGAAACUAAUAAUAAAUU